Molecule: long non-coding RNA, 287 nt
Filed under: Brassica napus (rape)
Lineage: Eukaryota; Viridiplantae; Streptophyta; Magnoliopsida; Brassicales; Brassicaceae
Description: long non-coding RNA (BNAP_LNC004991)
Source: RNAcentral
UCCUUCUUCGUCACAUCACCAUAUCAGUAUUCAAAAAAAAAAAAAAAAAAAAAAAAAAAAAAAAAAAAAAAAAAAAAAAAAAAAAAAAAAAAAAAAAAAAAAAAAAAAAAAAAAAAAAAAAAAAAAAAAAAAAAAAAAAACGAGAUUAAUGUGAUGGAGAAGGGGAAGAAAGAAAAGAAACAUGGAGCCACUGGAAAGGUCGAGCAAGAAGUUGGUACCAAGUAUUGAAGAGUGUGUAGAGGAAAGUAGAAAGCCGAACAAUCAGUUGCCUGUUCCGUCAUCAGAAC